GUGGGGAAUCUUCCGCAAUGGACGAAAGUCUGACGGAGCGACGCCGCGUGAGUGAAGAAGGCCUUCGGGUCGUAAAGCUCUGUCAUCAGGGACGAACGGCCGGUGGAGUGGAAAGCCACCGGAUUGACGGUACCUGAGAAGGAAGCCACGGCUAACUACGUGCCAGCAGCCGCGGUAAUACGUAGGUGGCAAGCGUUGUCCGGAAUUAUUGGGCUUAAAGCGCGCGCAGGUGGGAUCUUAAGUCCAUUUUUAAAGUUCGGAGCUCAACUCCGUGAUGGGAUGGAAACUGGGAUUCUUGAGUACCGGAGAGGAAAGCGGAAUUCCCCGUGUAGCGGUGAAAUGCGUAGAUAUGGGGAGGAACACCAGUGGCGAAGGCGGCUUUCUGGACGGUGUCUGACACUGAGGCGCGAAAGCCAGGGGAGCGAACGGGAUUAGAAACCCCAGUAGUCC
This 450-nucleotide ribosomal RNA is filed under the name uncultured bacterium. RNAcentral's name for it is "partial 16S ribosomal RNA". It matches the Rfam family "Bacterial small subunit ribosomal RNA", at positions 354 to 796 of the family's 1533-position model. The record is from RNAcentral.